This 27-nucleotide non-coding RNA is filed under the name Mus musculus (house mouse). Lineage: Eukaryota; Metazoa; Chordata; Mammalia; Rodentia; Muridae. The record is from RNAcentral.
GCAGAGCACAUGGCGAAAAACUGCCCC